RNAcentral lists this transfer RNA (75 nucleotides) under Quinella sp. 1Q5. RNAcentral describes it as "tRNA-Glu". It matches the Rfam family "tRNA". From Rfam's summary of the family: Transfer RNA (tRNA) molecules are approximately 80 nucleotides in length. Their secondary structure includes four short double-helical elements and three loops (D, anti-codon, and T loops). RNAcentral also lists the same sequence under 3 other names. The record is from RNAcentral. Lineage: Bacteria; Bacillati; Bacillota; Negativicutes; Veillonellales; Veillonellaceae.
GGCGCCAUCGUCAAGAGGUUAAGACACCGCCCUUUCACGGCGGGUUCGUGGGUUCGAAUCCCGCUGGCGUCACCA